Bombyx mori (domestic silkworm) is the source of this 813-nucleotide long non-coding RNA. RefSeq lists it as uncharacterized. The transcript is spliced from 3 exons. NCBI's taxonomy places the organism in Eukaryota, Metazoa, Arthropoda, Insecta, Lepidoptera, Bombycidae. The record is from RefSeq and is a predicted model, not a curated record.
AGAUUGGCAUAUCAGUAGUUACGACGUAACUGAAGAACUGGGAAUUGUCCACAAAAUAGUUAUGGCGCAUUUGAAAAAAACUGGGUACACAAAAAAGCUCACUGAAAGAAACCUAAUGAACCGUGUACUCAUUGGUGAUUCUUUAUUACGACGUAAUGAAACCGAACCAUUUUUGAAGAAGCUGAUAACUAAAUUAAAUUAAAUUAAACUAAAUCGGUCACAAACCAAACAAAACGUUCGGCGCUCAUUCAGAACUAAAAUCCAAUAUCCCGCAUUUCUGCUCGAUGUCGUCAUAGCGAUCUCUCAACUUAAAUAAUGAUGUGAUUGACAUUUUAAAUGUUUCGUCAGUGUACGAUUUUGGGGGAUACGUGGACGAAUUGACUCAUCUAUUUGGGAGCUACAAAAUAUACAGACAGACACACAAACAAAUCACUGUUGCCAAAUCUCACCCGUCCUGGUUGGGCCCUUGCUCGCCCGCCUGUCCUGGUGAAACUGGAAAGGCCUCCGGCCCACAAGUAGUAACUUAAUAAAAAAAAAAAAAAGCAGGCAUGGACAUUCAUUACGGAUCACAUGAUACACAUAAAUUCGUCGUCAGUCAAUCGCAACCUAAUGUACAAGUAAUAGGUUUUACGUGUGAGUUAAACUUAAACAAGGGAACUCAGAUGAGUCGUCACACGUGAAGAUGUGUGGGAGAGUAUAAUUAGUGUUACUGCUUCAAACUUGUCUGUACGCUUUGUGACACGAAGUUCCACCUGCAUUUAGAUUAAUUCAAUUAAUGUACUCAGAGAAUAAUUUAAAUUGAGUUCGUUUUGA